This is a non-coding RNA of Bactrocera oleae (olive fruit fly), 1374 nucleotides long. The record is from RefSeq and is a predicted model, not a curated record. Lineage: Eukaryota; Metazoa; Arthropoda; Insecta; Diptera; Tephritidae.
AAAAUUUUCACGCAUUUUAUUACAAAUCUUUAUAUUUAUAAACACUCGUCUCGUCACCAGUCAUGAUGCGUUUGAUGAAUGUAGGAUUCUCAGCUACGUUGUCAAGCAUCUCUUUUGCAAAAGAUUCAGGUCUUUUGGUACGAGUCUAGUAUUGACACUCUUCAUACCCAAGACAUUAACCAAAAUGUGUUUAGUCGAUCCAUAAGAGAUGUUAAGUCUCUCUGGUAGCUCUCUGAUGCACACGACGAUUUUCAAGCAGAGUUUCUUUAACUUUUGCGUUGUUAUCGUCAUUAACAGAGGUGCAUGGAUGACUAGCAUCAGACAAGUUUUCGAUGACUUCACGACCUUCACUGAAUGCUGAAUCUUUCAACCUCUGUUAACUUAAGAAACACAAUCACUAUCUAUAUUUUGUAUUAUACUUAUAAUUUCAAUAGGCAAAAGUUUGAAUAUAUAUCUAACAAAUAUACACAAUUUACAUUAUUAUUUUACCACCUAAGAAGAUAGAAGAUAGUUGCUCGUGGAUAUCCAAUAAGAUUCACAUAGAAAUGAAUUGAAAGGAAAACCCUUUAAUUAUAUUAUUAUCAAUCAUGAUGUCCGUGACCAUGUCCGUGUCCGUGACCAUGCCCACCCCAACCACCGCCUCCAACUGGAACUGAAACGACUACGGGCUUCACAAUAAUCGGCUUGACAAUGACGGGCUUCACAACGACCGGUUUUGAUAUUAUUUUAUUUGAUUUGCCGAAUGACGGUAUAAAUUUCGAAUGUGACGCAACCGAUGUUAAUAUAAUGGCCACCACCAAGAUGCGCAGCAACACAAUCCGCGUUUCUUUACUAUCCAUUUUUGUGCGGCGGCGUUCACCUGCUCCUUUGUACUAGUAACUACUGAACCUAAGGUGGCAACGAAACUGUUUAUAUAUGACAAAAUGAGAAACUCAUAAAAUGAAAUGAAUUAAUUAACUAUUUUCGAUCAUUUUUACGCACUUCUUGGGAGAUUCGCGACAUUGAUUUGUAUGCAGGAGAGGCGCCCGGGCAUAAUCUUACGAAUUGCUUUCUUGCGGUAUUUACGAGUAUUGGGUAUCGAGGAGGUGAGACUGUUUGAUAUUUGUAUGCAGAAGGAGUAAACAAAAAUCCCAAGUGAUGGAGAUUCGAUAAAGAUUUUUAUUAAAAAUUCUGAGUGCACAUCCAACGUCGUACAUACUGAAUUUAUAUACAUAGGUAUGUUCAUGAAUAGAUGAGAGCUUUGAACAAAAUUAAGUGUUAGGUAACUAUCAACUAUUCAAUCAUAAAAGUAAUCAGACGUUACUACAAUCAAUGUCCAUAUUGUACAAAUUUAAUCUACAAUACAUUCCCAGAUACGAGUUAUCUUUAUAUUUA